AGCCGCGGGAACACCGGCAGCUCUAGUGGUAGCAAUUUUAUUGGGCCUAAAGCGUCCGUAGCCGGUUUAAUAAGUCUCUGGUGAAAUCCUGCAGCUUAACUGUGGGAAUUGCUGGAGAUACUAUUAGACUUGAGACCGGGAGAGGUUAGAGGUACUCCCAGGGUAGAGGUGAAAUUCUGUAAUCCUGGGAGGACCGCCUGUUGCGAAGGCGUCUAACUGGAACGGUUCUGACGGUGAGGGACGAAAGUUAGGGGCGCGAACCGGAUUAGAUACCCGGGUAGUCCUAACUGUAAACGAUGCGGACUUGGUGUUGGGGUGGCUUUGAGCUGCUUCAGUGCCGAAGGGAAGCUGUUAAGUCCGCCGCCUGGGAAGUACGGUCGCAAGACUGAAACUUAAGGAAUUGGCGGGGGAGCACCACAACGCGUGGAGCCUGCCGGUUUAAUUGGAUUCAACGCCGGACAUCUCACCAGAGGCGACAGCUGUAUGAUAGCCAGGUUGAUGACUUUGCUUGACUAGCUGAGAGGUGGUGCAUGG
This 534-nucleotide ribosomal RNA is filed under the name uncultured archaeon. RNAcentral's name for it is "bacterial SSU rRNA". It matches the Rfam family "Archaeal small subunit ribosomal RNA", at positions 463 to 997 of the family's 1478-position model. The record is from RNAcentral.